AAUCGGAUCGCCUAAGAGUUUGCUGUCGGCAGUCAGCUACAUCCAGUUAAAUAUAAAGCCUUAAAUAAGACUUAAUAAAAUUAUCUAAAUUUUGAAAGAAUGGCAUCGAAUGGCUAUGGAAUGGUUCCCAAGGUCUGCAAACAACUCCUUCUUGGCAUCUGGUCUAAAAUAGGGAAGAAUGUGCCAUACAAAGUGCACUACUGUUUUUUGGAGAAAUCCUCGCCUCGAAUUUGCACAAUAUUUUUAGAAUUCAAUCCUUGUCCAGAGCUGGAGGGAAAAAGCUCCAAGAGGCGGACCGGCGAACACUUUCAGGGCCUACAAGCUGGCUCAAUUAUAGACUUUAAUAUGAUCAUUGUAACCUUGUUCGGGAUUAUACUACCAUUUCUUGUAGCCGUGAACCUCUUUUAAGACAUAGUACCACAUCCUCUUUGAAUAAUUAGGCAUUAUCCAUUUUUAUUCAGAAACAACGGACAAUAAACUAACCAAUAGUAGCUGAUAGA
Molecule: unclassified non-coding RNA, 500 nt
Filed under: Drosophila ananassae
Lineage: Eukaryota; Metazoa; Arthropoda; Insecta; Diptera; Drosophilidae
Description: GF26249
Source: RNAcentral